GGACUGGCGUUGGCGGGGCCUUCCAGAGACUGCGUAACACGGCUCAGUAACCCACACGCCGGCCAUGGCAGAACCCCCUGAAAACACGUUUCCAGGGCCUGCCCCGACGUGGCCUCUGUCUUCAAACCUCUCCAGUGUGACUCUUCAACUCCCUUCACAGUCGGGUGUUUUUGUGGUCAGGGGUGACUGUGGACUUGCGACUUGCGUGUCUAGUUUCUCAUGAUGAUCCACUGGGCUGGCAGCCUCUGACAGGGAACACUCAGCACCGUGUCAUUUCCCUUUAGGUGACUUGUGGAUCCCUGGCAAGGGUACAGGCAGGCGGAUCAGGGCCAGCGCUCUAAGGACAGCAGCACAGGGCAGAGGUGGAGAGGCGCCCAUCGAGAACGGCUUCUCUUGCCCAGUUGCUCGCCAUGGUAACCAGCCAGAUGUGGAACCCCAGCAGAAGGUGGCGAUGACAUCAUUCUUGGGCUUCUGAUUGACUGCGGCGGUUCUUUCACCAGAGGAUCUGACAGGUGGCCUCACUCACCACCUGCAUCCGGAGGAAAGGUCGGGGGAGCAAUUUUCAGGCAGAACAAAGCAGGCCGGGGAGAUAUCCUGCAUGACUCAUCGGUGUGCCACGCAACCAGCGCUUCCGGGCCUCAGGAGAAACCAGACACAGAGGGCCAUUGUUUGUCCCGGAAGCCCCCGUUGCCUCUGCAGCCUCAGUGGGGUCACUUGUGUUUUUCUCUCUGGUUCUCUGUGACUGUAGUCAGUCUCGGGGGUGGGGAUCCUCCGGGCUGCCUGGGUCCCUGCAACAGGAGAAAAUCAAUAUCUAGUCACCCACCCACAAGUCCCAUCAGAAUACCCCUAAUGAGGGACCGGGCCAGGCCUGGGAGGGAACAGACUGCCUCUCUCUGCCUCCUGGCUUAAACAAAAAGCAAGUAAAAAUGCUGUGGAUCAACAGGACAGACAGCUAUAAAUCUGUUUCUAUCAUAAUCUCUCCAGAUUCUUAUCUAGGGCAGGAAGAUCCUGAACCCACACCCACGCUCUACCCCAGAAAGCGGCCCACACUCAGGGACACAGACCCAAGGGGCUAGUGCAGAAGGCACAGGGCCUGGUGGCAGAGCUGGGCAGAGCCAGGGGAUAAGGAGGGGAGGGCUGAGUGGCUGCCCCUGGGUUUGGACCAAGCUGGAGGUCCUUGGAUACCUCCAGGGGAAAAAAGCAAAAAAAGUU
RNAcentral lists this long non-coding RNA (1212 nucleotides) under Equus asinus (donkey). RNAcentral's name for it is "lncRNA (ENSEASG00005034551.1)". Lineage: Eukaryota; Metazoa; Chordata; Mammalia; Perissodactyla; Equidae. The record is from RNAcentral.